This 438-nucleotide ribosomal RNA is filed under the name Enterococcus italicus. Its description in RNAcentral is "bacterial SSU rRNA". It matches the Rfam family "Bacterial small subunit ribosomal RNA", at positions 28 to 446 of the family's 1533-position model. The record is from RNAcentral. Lineage: Bacteria; Bacillati; Bacillota; Bacilli; Lactobacillales; Enterococcaceae.
GACGAACGCUGGCGGCGUGCCUAAUACAUGCAAGUUGAACGCUUCUUUCUUAUCGAACUUCGGUUCACCAAGAAAGAGGAGUAGCGAACGGGUGAGUAACACGUGGGUAACCUGCCCAUCAGCGGGGGAUAACACUUGGAAACAGGUGCUAAUACCGCAUAAUGCUUUUUCUCACAUGAGAGAAAGCUGAAAGGCGCUUUUGCGUCACUGAUGGAUGGACCCGCGGUGCAUUAGCUAGUUGGUAGGGUAACGGCCUACCAAGGCAACGAUGCAUAGCCGACCUGAGAGGGUGAUCGGCCACACUGGGACUGAGACACGGCCCAGACUCCUACGGGAGGCAGCAGUAGGGAAUCUUCGGCAAUGGACGAAAGUCUGACCGAGCAACGCCGCGUGAGUGAAGAAAGGUUUUCGGGAUCGUAAAGCUCUGUUGUUAGAGAA